GCCCCAGUGGUGGAAUGGUAGACGCGGCAGACUCAAAAUCUGUUGCCCGCAAGGGCGUGCUGGUUCAAGUCCGGCCUGGGGCACCA
Molecule: transfer RNA, 86 nt
Filed under: Acinetobacter baumannii
Lineage: Bacteria; Pseudomonadati; Pseudomonadota; Gammaproteobacteria; Moraxellales; Moraxellaceae
Also listed under: 3 other names
Description: tRNA-Leu
Rfam family: tRNA
About the family: Transfer RNA (tRNA) molecules are approximately 80 nucleotides in length. Their secondary structure includes four short double-helical elements and three loops (D, anti-codon, and T loops). Further hydrogen bonds mediate the characteristic L-shaped molecular structure. tRNAs have two regions of fundamental functional importance: the anti-codon, which is responsible for specific mRNA codon recognition, and the 3' end, to which the tRNAs corresponding amino acid is attached (by aminoacyl-tRNA synthetases). tRNAs cope with the degeneracy of the genetic code in two manners: having more than one tRNA (with a specific anti-codon) for a particular amino acid; and 'wobble' base-pairing, i.e. permitting non-standard base-pairing at the 3rd anti-codon position.
Source: RNAcentral